Molecule: long non-coding RNA, 1051 nt
Filed under: Heterocephalus glaber (naked mole-rat)
Lineage: Eukaryota; Metazoa; Chordata; Mammalia; Rodentia; Bathyergidae
Description: lncRNA (ENSHGLG00100041308.1)
Source: RNAcentral
GGGAAGACCCAACUUACUCGGGGACCAGCAGGACCAGAAGCUCCAGAAGGACCUUGUUCACCAGGAGAGCCCUGACGCACAGAGACAAAGACAGUUCAGGCCCAGUGCGGGUCCAGUGCAGGCUUGGGACAGGGCAGGGGACCCAGAGGGCAGGGUGGGCAGCCCACCCCUCUCCCUACUGGGGAAAUCUUGCCCCAGCCUCCUCAUAGGCUGAGCCUCUCUUCCAAUCCUCUCUCAGAAGCUACUCGGAAAUGGCCAUAAACCUUUAGUCCCCAGUCCCCAUGACGGAGGAUCCAGAGUGGCUCUUCAGAGGGGAAACUGAGGCAGGUGUCUACUGUCCACCGCCCCCGCCCCCACCGUCACCCAGCACAGCAUGGGGAGAUGACAAAGAAGGUGCAGUGGCAGAGGACCUGAGAGCCCGAGCAUACUCACAGGAGGACCGGGGGACCCUGGAGACCAGAGAAGCCGCGUGUGACCCUUGAUGCCUCUGUCACCCUGUUCGCCUGUCUCACCCUUGUCACCACGGGGGCCUUGGGGUCCCUGGAAGAGAUGGGAGUGUGAUCCACACCGGGUGAGGGUUUUGAGGUCAGGGGUUGGUGUGGGCCACUUACAGCAGGGCCACGGGCACCAGCAGGGCCGAUGGGACCAGCAGGACCAGCAGGACCCUGGGGAGAGCAGAGAGAGUAGUUGACCCUGGCCGAGGCAGCCCACCGUGUCCAUGUCCCCCCAUGUGGCCGCUUCUCCUGACCCCCUAUAAACUUCCCACGGGGCCGGUUCCUGUCACCAGGGAGAGGGGCCUUGGAUGAGGGUCCUGAGGCCGAGCUCUGAUUUUCCAAGGAGGCCGAGGAUGCAGAUGUCCCACAAACUUCUGCUCUCUCCUCUCCCUGCCUGGCCGAUGUCGCCAUCUGUCCCCAGAAUCCCUGGCCUGAGCCGAGCCCGCCCACUUACAGUCUCACCACGAUCGCUCACUCUUGCCAGCAGGGCCGACCGGGGCCAGGGGCGCCAGGGGCACCAGGAGCACCAGGGGGUCCAGCAGGGCCGGUUUCCCCAC